GACGAACGCUGGCGGCGUGCUUAACACAUGCAAGUCGAACGGUGAAGGGGUCUGCUUUUGUGGGCCCUGGAUGAGUGGCGCACGGGUGAGUAACACGUGAGUAACCUGCCCCCUUCUUCUGGAUAACCGCAUGAAAGUGUGGCUAAUACGGGAUAUUCUGGGUCUGUCGCAUGAUGGGUCUGGGAAAGAUUGCGCCUUUGGGUGUUUUUGGUGGGGGAUGGGCUCGCGGCCUAUCAGCUUGUUGGUGGGGUGAUGGCCUACCAAGGCGGUGACGGGUAGCCGGCCUGAGAGGGUGGACGGUCACACUGGGACUGAGACACGGCCCAGACUCCUACGGGAGGCAGCAGUGGGGAAUAUUGCACAAUGGGCGCAAGCCUGAUGCAGCGACGCCGCGUGAGGGAUGGAGGCCUUCGGGUUGUAAACCUCUUUCGCCAGUGAAGCAGGCCUGCUCCUUGUGGGUGGGCUGACGGUAGCUGGAUAAGAAGCGCCGGCUAACUACGUG
RNAcentral lists this ribosomal RNA (502 nucleotides) under uncultured bacterium. RNAcentral's name for it is "partial 16S ribosomal RNA". It matches the Rfam family "Bacterial small subunit ribosomal RNA", at positions 28 to 507 of the family's 1533-position model. The record is from RNAcentral.